CGGAGGGAUCAUUACCGAGUUUUCAACUCCCAAACCCUUAUGUGAACCUACCUAUCGUUGCUUCGGCGGACUCGCCCCAGCCGGACGCGGACUGGACCAGCGGCCGCCGGGGACCAUCAAACUCUUGUAUUAUCAGCAUCUUCUGAAUACGCCGCAAGGCAAAACAAAUAAAUUAAAACUUUCAACAACGGAUCUCUUGGCUCUGGCAUCGAUGAAGAACGCAGCGAAAUGCGAUAAGUAAUGUGAAUUGCAGAAUCCAGUGAAUCAUCGAAUCUUUGAACGCACAUUGCGCCCGCCAGCAUUCUGGCGGGCAUGCCUGUUCGAGCGUCAUUUCAACCCUCGACCUCCCUUUGGGGAAGUCGGCGUUGGGGACCGGCAGCACACCGCCGGCCCUGAAAUGGAGUGGCGGCCCGUCCGCGGCGACCUCUGCGUAGUAAACCAACUCGCACCGGAACCCCGACGUGGCCACGCCGUAAAACACCCAACUUCUGAACGUUGACCUCGAAUCAGGUAGGAC
Molecule: ribosomal RNA, 517 nt
Filed under: Beauveria bassiana
Lineage: Eukaryota; Fungi; Ascomycota; Sordariomycetes; Hypocreales; Cordycipitaceae
Description: eukaryotic LSU rRNA
Rfam family: 5.8S ribosomal RNA (bases 177-330)
Source: RNAcentral